UACGGAGGAUCCGAGCGUUAUCCGGAUUUAUUGGGUUUAAAGGGAGCGUAGGUGGAUUGUUAAGUCAGUUGUGAAAGUUUGCGGCUCAGCCGUAAAAUUGCAGUUGAAACUGGCAGUCUUGAGUACAGUAGAGGUGGGCGGAAUUCGUGGUGUAGCGGUGAAAUGCUUAGAUAUCACGAAGAACUCCGAUUGCGAAGGCAGCUCACUAGACUGCAACUGACACUGAUGCUCGAAAGUGUGGGUAUCAAACAGG
Molecule: ribosomal RNA, 253 nt
Filed under: uncultured bacterium
Lineage: Bacteria
Description: partial 16S ribosomal RNA
Rfam family: Bacterial small subunit ribosomal RNA
Source: RNAcentral